GAUGAAGAACGUAGCGAAAUGCGAUAAGUAAUGUGAAUUGCAGAAUUCAGUGUAUCAUCGAAUCUUUGAACGCACAUUGCGCCCGCCAGUAUUCUGGCGGGCAUGCCUGUUCGAGCGUCAUUUCAACCAUCAAGCCCCCGGCUUGUGUUGGGGACCUGCGGCUGCCGCAGGCCCUGAAAACCAGUGGCGGGCUCGCUAGUCACUCCGAGCGUAGUAAUACAUCUCGCUCAGGGCGUGCUGCGGGUUCCGGCCGUUAAAAAGCCUUAUUUACCCAAGGUUGACCUCGGAUCAGGUAGGAAGACCCGCUGAACUUAAGCAUAUCAAUAAGCGGAGGA
This 335-nucleotide unclassified non-coding RNA is filed under the name soil metagenome. RNAcentral's name for it is "partial contains 5.8S ribosomal RNA, internal transcribed spacer 2, and large subunit ribosomal RNA". The stretch from base 1 to 120 matches the Rfam family "5.8S ribosomal RNA", at positions 35 to 154 of the family's 154-position model. The record is from RNAcentral.